UACAUGGGGUGCAAACGUUGCUCGGAAUUAUUGGGCGUAAAGCGCGCGUAGGCGGUUACUCAAGUCGGAUGUGAAAGCCCUCGGCUUAACUGAGGAAGUGCACCCGAAACUGAGUAGCUAGAGUACUAAAGAGGGUCGCGGAAUUCCCGGUGUAGAGGUGAAAUUCGUAGAUAUCGGGAGGAGCACCGGUGGCGAAGGCGGCGACCUGGGUAGAUACUGACGCUGAGGCGCGAAAGCGUGGGGAGCAAACAGG
RNAcentral lists this ribosomal RNA (253 nucleotides) under uncultured bacterium. RNAcentral describes it as "partial 16S ribosomal RNA". It matches the Rfam family "Bacterial small subunit ribosomal RNA", at positions 524 to 776 of the family's 1533-position model. The record is from RNAcentral.